AUUGAACGCUGGCGGCAUGCCUUACACAUGCAAGUCGAACGGCAGCACGGGGGCAACCCUGGUGGCGAGUGGCGAACGGGUGAGUAAUGCAUCGGAACGUGCCCUGGAGUGGGGGAUAACGUAGCGAAAGUUACGCUAAUACCGCAUAUUCUGUGAGCAGCAAAGCAGGGGAUCUUAGGACCUUGCGCUUUGGGAGCGACCGAUGUCGGAUUAGCUAGUUGGUGAGGUAAAGGCUCACCAAGGCGACGAUCCGUAGCGGGUCUGAGAGGAUGAUCCGCCACACUGGGACUGAGACACGGCCCAGACUCCUACGGGUGGCUG
RNAcentral lists this ribosomal RNA (321 nucleotides) under uncultured Pseudomonadota bacterium. RNAcentral's name for it is "bacterial SSU rRNA". It matches the Rfam family "Bacterial small subunit ribosomal RNA", at positions 30 to 351 of the family's 1533-position model. The record is from RNAcentral. Lineage: Bacteria; Pseudomonadati; Pseudomonadota.